Long non-coding RNA from Dermochelys coriacea (leatherback sea turtle), 2217 nucleotides. RefSeq lists it as uncharacterized. Lineage: Eukaryota; Metazoa; Chordata; Testudines; Dermochelyidae. The transcript is spliced from 2 exons. The record is from RefSeq and is a predicted model, not a curated record.
AUUCUGAGCAGCGUGGAAGGAGUUUUUGCCGAAGACCCCCAUGCCAGCUGCUUAAAAAACCCAAGCUGGCAGCACCGGGUCCCAGUAGCACGUUAUAUUUUGAAGAGUGGAGGUGAGGCCCCCCCUUCUUCCCCGGCUGGGGCCUAGUGCACAGCAGGUGUGAGUGAGUCCUUCGGAUCACCAUGCAACAUAGGCAUGGGAUGCAGAGGACACUUGCUGAGUAGCGGAAGCAGUGCACAGCUGACAGCUUUGGAGAAGUCAUGACUGAAGGCUCCCUGAAGGGGCUAUCAAGUGACCCGUUAAGGGGAACAGCCUCAGAAAUCCAGGCAACUGGCAGCAGGUCAACAUGGCCUGUUAGCAUAAGCUGAUGGUCACUAAGCACCAGCAUCUGUCAACGCACGCACCACCACUUCCAACCACUCUAACUUUCUUGUGACAAAUAUGUACUCUCACUCUCUCUCUCUCUCUUUCACAGACACACACACACUCAGACAAGCACUCACAGACAGGCACAUGUACUGAUACGCACAUAUUUACCACUUAAUGGACACAAUCUUUAGCUUGUGAAAUUGCCCCAGACUAGAUUCUGUGGUCUUUUGUUUGCACUUUUAUAACCUGUCCCUCAGUGUUGCAGAGGGGUAUUUACAGGCAGUUAAACAGGUACGUAUGAGAACUGGCUCUGAAUCAGAAUCCCACCUCUGACCCCACUGGUUCUGAGCUUACAGUUGAAUCAGAACAGCCCAAAGGCUGGGAAAGGCUUAUCCAGUUCUGGGCCCUGGGCUUUUGUUCCAGUCCAGCUCUCGUCUAUACACGAUGUGAAAUACCUGUGUGGAGAGGUGUCGAGUAUUGCAGUGUAGUAGUGUUAUACACAGGUAAGAACUGGGGAUGUGGUGUAGGAUGAUUCUAGCUAAUACACACAGUUAGCUGGAAUGGCAUAGUGUCCCUAAGCCAGUUUUUGGUGCAGGAUUGUUAGGUACUAAUAGUUCCAUGGAGCUAGUGUAAAUGUUGUAUAGAAGGGGCAGUUAAUGGGGCUGUAGUGCAGUAUGUACUCUCACACUCAGGUAAGUCUGCACGGUUAGUUAUUCACUAUAUAAGGGGAAAGCUGGCCUCUUUCUGUACAGAAUACAGGAGAGGGUAGCUUCAGCUUAAGGUCUUUAUUUGUGUGUUUUCUUUGGUGCUGUGAUAGCUCAUCACCUAAAACUCCAUCCUCCCCAAACCGGCCUCAGACCUGCCUACUCUGAGCUGGGAUCUGUCCCCAUCUGCUAUUUGCCUACUGUUGUUUGGCUGCAUUGUCACUGGCGGGUUUGCUCUAGUGAGUUGACACAUUCCCUCACUGCUGUUGCUCAUGUUCUGAGUAAAAAAUGCCUUUCUCUGCAGAUCGGGAGGGUGCAUCCCUCACAACGGGCCAGGCCAGGUUCGUAUCACAGCACAGAGCAAAGGUUUGCUGUGUGGCUCGGCCCCAGAAGAGGAUGGUCUCUCCAUCUGGAGCUGGCUGAUUGCCUGGCGGUAGGAGACUCCUGGGAUCUCUUUGCAUCAGCAUCCUCUCCAUGCUAGCCAGGAGGAAAGAGAUAGUGGGUGAGCAUUUUGAAAGUUGGCUGCCUUGUUAUCAUCCUCUAGGUUCUCCAGGGAGUCCGUGUGCCAUUUUCCUUUCAUGUGCUGAGCCAUCUCUCUCAGCUAGUCCUUUAGUGAGUGCCUCCUGUCUCUCUGACAGACAGCAGAUUGAUUUCCAAUCAUGGCUGCAGCUUGCUGCUCACUUGCCCAACCAGUUCUGGGCCUGGAGAUAAUGCCGCAGCUGGAAAUAUUUCUAACCCACUGAUCUUUCAGGGCUGUGCUUUCAGGUAGCUUGUUCAAACCACUUCAAGGCUGAAACCUGAAAGAGCUGAUGUGGUAAGCCAGUCUGCUCUGCUCCUGUCUAGCCCUGGUGACUGCAGAGAAGCCAGGGGCAAAGCUUGCAGCUUGCAAUAGGAGAAAUGUACCCUGGCCAGGACAGGGUGAAGGUGUUGUGUUAAGAGGGUUUCUCCCAUUUGUGUGAUGAUCUCUGUGAUGUCUAGAAAGGUAUUGAUUUCUGUGGCGCAGCUGGAAAGGCUGAUCUGAGCCUGUGCGUUUGAUACCUGGUGUAUGGGCUGUGAUAGGUGGGCUGCCUGCAAAUAGCUGGGGAAGGCUGGGAGAGCUACUUUCUCAGCUGUUUUUCUGAUUCUGCACAAGCCUGGCUUUAAU